This 424-nucleotide ribosomal RNA is filed under the name uncultured bacterium. Its description in RNAcentral is "bacterial SSU rRNA". It matches the Rfam family "Bacterial small subunit ribosomal RNA", at positions 356 to 771 of the family's 1533-position model. The record is from RNAcentral.
GGGGAAUUGUUCGCAAUGGGCGAAAGCCUGACGACGCAACGCCGCGUGGAGGAUGAAGGUCUUCGGAUUGUAAACUCCUGUUGACCGGGACGAAUGGGUCCCGACCUAAUACGUCGGGGCAGUGACGGUACCGGUUGAGGAAGCCACGGCAAACUCUGUGCCAGCAGCCGCGGUAAUACAGAGGUGGCAAGCGUUGUUCGGAAUUACUGGGCGUAAAGGGCGCGUAGGCGGCCUUCUAAGUCAGACGUGAAAUCCCCAGGCUUAACUUGGGAACUGCGUCUGAUACUGGAAGGCUUGAGUGCGGGAGAGGGAUGUGGAAUUCCUGGUGUAGCGGUGAAAUGCGUAGAUAUCUGGAGGAACACCGGUGGCGAAGGCGGCAUCCUGGACCGACACUGACGCUGAGGCGCGAAAGCCAGGGGAGCAA